Long non-coding RNA from Xenia sp. Carnegie-2017, 545 nucleotides. RefSeq lists it as uncharacterized. The transcript has 2 exons. The record is from RefSeq and is a predicted model, not a curated record. NCBI's taxonomy places the organism in Eukaryota, Metazoa, Cnidaria, Anthozoa, Malacalcyonacea, Xeniidae.
AAAAGUGAAUUCAGCAGACCGAAUGCACGGAGGAACUAAGUUGCAUUCAAUCUAAGACAAGUUCCUGACACAAAUUAGUACAAAGAAGGUUGGAAGUGAGGGUUGAGGCUUCUCACUCAUACGUGAUCAUCGAGUGUGAAUCAGAAAUUGUGCUCUUACGUAUCAAAGGCAGACUCGUCUAUCGACGAAUGGAAGCUUUGUUUAGUCGAGAGACCUUGGCUGGGUAUUCAGUAUAUCUUAAAUCUGGAAUGCCAUUAUUUACAUAUCAUAUGAUACAAUGACAUAGAAAUUGCGACUUAUUGACAACAAUGUGAAUUUGUGAAGAAAUAUUUAAAAUUCAAACAACCGCUGGGGGUAAAUAAUUUCUUGUUUUAGCUGUAUAUUAUGUUAUUUCUCUUAUGUAAUGAGUUAACAAUGAAGAUAGAACAGUGAAAACAUUUAUUGGCAUUUCAUUCAUCAGAAACCGAGUUAUGAGCGGGCUUAGUAUUUUCAAUGAAAAAAAGUGAACAAAAUAUAACCAUACUUCAAAUGUCGAUGCUAAAGUC